Molecule: ribosomal RNA, 742 nt
Filed under: Flavobacterium sp.
Lineage: Bacteria; Pseudomonadati; Bacteroidota; Flavobacteriia; Flavobacteriales; Flavobacteriaceae
Description: bacterial SSU rRNA
Rfam family: Bacterial small subunit ribosomal RNA
Source: RNAcentral
GUUCUUCGGAAGUAGAGACCGGCGCACGGGUGCGUAACGCGUAUGCAAUCUACCUUUUGCAGAGGGAUAGCCCAGAGAAAUUUGGAUUAAUACCUCAUAGUAUAGCAGUUUCGCAUGAAACCACUAUUAAAGUCACAACGGCAAAAGAUGAGCAUGCGUCCCAUUAGCUAGUUGGUAAGGUAACGGCUUACCAAGGCUACGAUGGGUAGGGGUCCUGAGAGGGAGAUCCCCCACACUGGUACUGAGACACGGACCAGACUCCUACGGGAGGCAGCAGUGAGGAAUAUUGGACAAUGGGCGCAAGCCUGAUCCAGCCAUGCCGCGUGCAGGAUGACGGUCCUAUGGAUUGUAAACUGCUUUUGUACAGGAAGAAACACUCCCUCGUGAGGGAGCUUGACGGUACUGUAAGAAUAAGGAUCGGCUAACUCCGUGCCAGCAGCCGCGGUAAUACGGAGGAUCCAAGCGUUAUCCGGAAUCAUUGGGUUUAAAGGGUCCGUAGGCGGUUUAGUAAGUCAGUGGUGAAAGCCCAUCGCUCAACGGUGGAACGGCCAUUGAUACUGCUAGACUUGAAUUAUUAGGAAGUAACUAGAAUAUGUAGUGUAGCGGUGAAAUGCUUAGAGAUUACAUGGAAUACCAAUUGCGAAGGCAGGUUACUACUAAUGGAUUGACGCUGAUGGACGAAAGCGUGGGUAGCGAACAGGAUUAGAUACCCUGGUAGUCCACGCCGUAAACGAUGGAUACU